Molecule: unclassified non-coding RNA, 260 nt
Filed under: Hevea brasiliensis (rubber tree)
Lineage: Eukaryota; Viridiplantae; Streptophyta; Magnoliopsida; Malpighiales; Euphorbiaceae
Source: RNAcentral
UUCCAGUAGAAGCAUCAAUGGCUGUCAUGAUUACAAAAAAGUGUUUUUAUUUUAUUGCUUCUCUCCGUUGAACAGUUAGGGAUUCAUAAUCUCAAUACUCUUUAGGUAGGACCAAAUUGAUAUUUGAAAAACCUGGGCAUUUGAAGGCGCGCGGGAAUGGCAAACAGAUUUGCCUAUUUUCUGAACUAGGGCUUCGGAUGGAGUUGCUGACAGUCGGAGAACAUAAGAAGACGGCGGUGGCGGCGGAGGUAGAGAAGACG